RNAcentral lists this ribosomal RNA (253 nucleotides) under uncultured bacterium. RNAcentral describes it as "partial 16S ribosomal RNA". It matches the Rfam family "Bacterial small subunit ribosomal RNA", at positions 524 to 776 of the family's 1533-position model. The record is from RNAcentral.
UACGUAGGGGGCUAGCGUUGUCCGGAAUCAUUGGGCGUAAAGCGCGUGUAGGCGGUCCGGUAAGUCCGCUGUGAAAGUCGGGGGCUCAACCCUCGAAUGCCGGUGGAUACUGUCGGGCUAGAGUGCGGAAGAGGCGAGUGGAAUUCCUGGUGUAGCGGUGAAAUGCGCGGAUAUCAGGAGGAACACCAAUUGCGAAGGCAGCUCGCUGGGACGUUACUGACGCUGAGACGCGAAAGCGUGGGGAGCAAACAGG